Molecule: small RNA, 105 nt
Filed under: Marmota monax (woodchuck)
Lineage: Eukaryota; Metazoa; Chordata; Mammalia; Rodentia; Sciuridae
Source: RNAcentral
GCUGGGCAUGGUGGCACACCCCUGUAAUCCCAGCAGCUUGGAGGCUGAGGCAGGAGGAUCACAGUUCAAAGCCAGCCUCAGCAACUUAGUGAGACACUGUCUCAA